This is a long non-coding RNA of Podarcis raffonei (Aeolian wall lizard), 821 nucleotides long. RefSeq lists it as uncharacterized. NCBI's taxonomy places the organism in Eukaryota, Metazoa, Chordata, Lepidosauria, Squamata, Lacertidae. The record is from RefSeq and is a predicted model, not a curated record. The transcript is spliced from 2 exons.
UUGUUCUAGAGCUGGGUUAUGAACGCCAUUUACAUUCACAGCCCCAACUGCGGACUAUGAUAGUGGGAGCUGCAUUUUGGCAACUUCUGCAGCCUGGGAGUAAAAUGUUCACUGCUCUUCAUUGAGCGGGGGCUUAUGAUGGUGGCAUCAGGUUUUCUUCUUCUAAACAAUGUUUUGUUGCCGUUCCACAUCCUGCUUGAUGCAUGGCUUUUCCCUUCUCGCCCACAGCAAUAUUCUUGGAACAACACGACCUCAUGAGGAAGUGUCGUUUCUAAGGACUCAGUUUGGGGUGAGCAAGAUGGAACCCAUGCUCAACAGCAGCAAAAGAUCAGAACGCUGCAAAAUUUCUAAAUGCUGCAAUUGACCUUAGACUAUGAUUGCUCUUUGCUUUUUUUAAAAAAAUAAAUUUAUGUAGUUAACAUUCUGUAAUUUGGGUUAGUGGACCAUACAUAAACUAUAUUACUGUUUGUGUACAUUGUACUGAAAUGGGCAUUGCUAUUAUUGGAGCCUGAAAUAAUAAAUAACAACGUUUCAGAAGUUUCAGAAGCUUUGUAGAGAUUUGGACGUUUGAGCAGUAUAGCCAUUCUGUUACAUAAAAUAAUAAAACUAAUAAUUAGUAUCUUAAUGAGUAUUAUAUAAAGGCAAACAAAUCAACAAAAUACGUUUUCAUUUCUUAGAGCAUUAUCAGACCGUUGUGAGCUGUCCAUAUCCUUGUGGCCAGACGUCUUCUUUGACCACAUUAGUGGGAAAAGUUGAAAGAGGGCUUCUGUCGCCAUGCCUGUAAACCUGGUGAAAUGUUUUGAAGAUUGCAUUAGUUUUCA